UGGCUCAGAUGGUAAAGCAUCUGCCUACAAUGCGGGAGACCCAGGUUCGAUCCCUGG
Molecule: transfer RNA, 57 nt
Filed under: Muntiacus reevesi (Reeves' muntjac)
Lineage: Eukaryota; Metazoa; Chordata; Mammalia; Artiodactyla; Cervidae
Also listed under: 2 other names
Rfam family: tRNA
About the family: Transfer RNA (tRNA) molecules are approximately 80 nucleotides in length. Their secondary structure includes four short double-helical elements and three loops (D, anti-codon, and T loops).
Source: Rfam by way of RNAcentral